UUGGAGGGCAAGUCUGGUGCCAGCAGCCGCGGUAAUUCCAGCUCCAAUAGCGUAUAUUAAAGUUGUUGUGGUUAAAAAGCUCGUAGUUGAACCUUGGGCCUGGCUGGCCGGUCCGCCUCACCGCGUGUACUGGUCCGGCCGGGUCUUUCCCUCUGUGGAACCCCAUGCCCUUCACUGGGUGUGGCGGGGAAUCAGGACUUUUACUGUGAAAAAAUUAGAGUGUUCAAAGCAGGCCUAUGCUCGAAUACAUUAGCAUGGAAUAAUAGAAUAGGACGUGUGGUUCUAUUUUGUUGGUUUCUAGGACCGCCGUAAUGAUUAAUAGGGACAGUCGGGGGCAUCAGUAUUCAAUUGUCAGAGGUGAAAUUCUUGGAUUUAUUGAAGACUAACUACUGCGAAAGCAUUUGCCAAGGAUGUUUUCAUUAAUCAGGAACGAAAGUUAGGGGAUCGAAGACGAUCAGAUACCGUCGUAGUCUUAACCAUAAACUAUGCCGACUAGGGAUCGGACGAUGUUAUUUUUUGACUCGUUCGGCACCUUACGGGAAAC
Molecule: ribosomal RNA, 544 nt
Filed under: uncultured Calcarisporium
Lineage: Eukaryota; Fungi; Ascomycota
Description: SSU rRNA
Rfam family: Eukaryotic small subunit ribosomal RNA
Source: RNAcentral